This 622-nucleotide long non-coding RNA is filed under the name Salmo trutta (river trout). RNAcentral describes it as "lncRNA (ENSSTUG00000050877.1)". The record is from RNAcentral. Lineage: Eukaryota; Metazoa; Chordata; Actinopteri; Salmoniformes; Salmonidae.
AUGAUUACUUCAAAUUUGAGUCAGACGAGAAGAAGAAGGAUGAGGAGUAAGAUGAGGAAGAAGACCAGGUUAGGUGCUAAUAAAGAGGCUCUGAAGUCUGGCCUGUCUGAUAUGGAGUACCUGUGGCGCAGAGACGGGGUGCUGCUGAGGAUGAAGAUGAUGAGGAAGAUGAGCCUGCCCCUAUGCAGCAGACAGACAGUGCCUAUGAGAGUGGGGAUAGAGACGGUAUCCAGAGGGCCAAAGCACCAGUCCCUUCACUGGAUAAAAGCCAGGGCAAAUCUAGCAAGCCUGUCAAACAGCAGGAGACUGAAUCCACAGUGAAACUGUGAGAAUGUCCCUUCAACAUCAAAGAGCAACAAGUGCAAGAGAGCCAUUCGAAUCAUCAAGAAUGCCACCGGCAACAAAACCGAGUAUAUGUACGUGGACCUGCGCUCAGAGGAGGAGGUGGAAAAGGCUCACAAGUCUGAGGGGCAGGUGGAGAAAGGGAGCGAGAGGAGAUUCACCAGGGAGCUGAAGGAAGAUGAAGAGGAGGAAGAUGUAGCAGAGUCAGGAAGACUCUUCACAAGGAACCUGCCCUAAACCUGCACAGAAGAGGAGCUCCAAGACUUCAUCACAAAGCAUG